RNA transcript from Cornus florida, 2575 nucleotides. It is a transcript of the gene named SEC1 family transport protein SLY1, with no coding region annotated. The transcript has 3 exons. The record is from RefSeq and is a predicted model, not a curated record. NCBI's taxonomy places the organism in Eukaryota, Viridiplantae, Streptophyta, Magnoliopsida, Cornales, Cornaceae.
AACUUCGUAUCCAAACGGAGUCCACCACCAGCCCAAAACACCAACGUCUGUUUCUGGGUAAACUCUUGAGAGCAAAAACGCAAGCACAAGAAGCUCAACCUCAGAUCUCUUCGAACUGCAACUCUCAUUCGCAUCAAAGAGAGAAACUUUGCCCUAAAAUGGCACUCAAUCUUCGUCAGAGACAGACCGAAUGCAUUACUCGAUUGUUGAAUAUGAAUCAACCGGUGAAUUCAAGCGGAACAGCGAACGAAGAGGUGUACAAGAUCUUGAUCUACGAUAGGUUUUGCCAAGACAUUCUCUCUCCUCUGAUCCAUGUCAAGGACCUCCGAAAGCAUGGUGUAACCCUGUAUUUCCUCAUUGAUAAGGAUCGAAAGCCCGUCCACGACGUCCCUGCCGUGUACUUCGUGCAAGCGACUCAACUCAACGUCCAACGGAUCGUCGCCGACGCCUCUCGAUCUCUCUACGAUUCGUUCCACCUCAACUUCUCGUCGUCGAUACCUCGGCCGCUUCUCGAAGAUCUUGCAUCCGGGACGCUCAAUUCCGACGCGAUUCAUCGAAUUUCGAAGGUACAUGAUCAGUACUUGGAGUUUGUAACCCUAGAGGAUAAUUUGUUUUCGCUUGCGAAUAAAUCUUGUUAUGUUCAAUUGAACGAUCCCUCGGCUGGAGAUCGUGAAAUUGAGGAAAUAAUUGAGAAAAUUGCGAGUGGGUUGUUCAGUGUGUUGGCUACACUUGCUGUUGUUCCGAUUAUUAGGUGCCCACGUGGUGGGCCGGCCGAGCUGGUGUCGGCUUUGCUUGAUCAGAGGUUGCGAGACCAUUUGUUGGCUAAGAAUAAUUUGUUUUCUGAAGGAGGGAAUUUUACGAGUUCAUUUCAGAGGCCGAUUUUGUGUAUAUUUGAUCGGAAUUUUGAGUUAGCAGUUGCAAUACAACAUGAUUUUAGGUAUCGGCCACUUGUUCAUGAUGUGCUUGGUUUGAGGCUGAAUAGGUUGAGUGUGCAAGGUGAAAAAGGUGGGAUGAAAUCGUAUGAAUUGGAUAGAUCUGACCCAUUUUGGGUGGCAAAUGGCUUGUUGGAAUUUCCUGAAGUAGCUGUGGAGAUUGAGACCCAAUUGAAUAAAUAUAAGAAGGAUGUUGAUGAGGUGAACAGGCGGACUGGUGGGAAUGAUGGGGCUGAAUUUGAUGGGACGGAUUUGAUUGGCAACACAAAGCAUUUGAUGAAUGCAGUGAACUCGCUGCCUGAGUUGACUGAGCGGAAGCAGGUGAUUGAUAGGCACACUAAUAUUGCUACUGUGUUGUUGGGUGAGAUUAAGGAGAGGUCUCUUGAUUCUUAUGCCAAAAAGGAGACUGACAUGAUGGUUAGAGGUGGCAUUGAUCGGAGUGAGCUUAUUGGUGCACUCAAAGGAAAAGGGACUAAGAUGGAUAAGCUGCGAUUUGCGAUCAUGUAUCUUAUUUCUACUGAAAGCCUUCCUCAGUCUGAAGUGGAAAUGGUUGAAGCCGCUCUGAGGGAGUCUGAGGUUGAUACUAGUGCGUUUCAGUAUGUAAAAAAGAUAAAGUCACUAAAUGUUUCUUUUGCGUCGGCAAAUUCUGCCAGCAGAGGCAACAUUGUGGAUUGGGCAGAGAAGCUCUAUGGUCAGUCAAUUAGUGCUGUGACUGCUGGUGUGAAGAAUCUGUUGUCUAGUGAUCAUCAACUGGCAUUGACAAGGACAGUUGAGGCCUUGAUGGAUGGGAGACAGAAUACUGAAAUUGACCCUUACCUUAUGUUUGAUCCUCGUGCUCCUAAGUCAAGCUCUGGGUCAAGUAGCAGCAAAGGACCAUUUAAAGAAGCUAUUGUAUUUAUGAUUGGUGGUGGGAAUUAUGUGGAAUAUGGGAGCUUGCAAGAGCUUGCACAGCGUCAGCAGCCAGUUAAACAUGUUGUAUAUGGAACGACAGAAAUUCUCACUGGAGGCGAGUUUGUUGACCAGCUUGCACUGCUAGGGCAGAAGAUGGGAUUAGGCAACAGUGUUGCUGCUUCAGCCCAAUAAAACUGAUGUAUCUUUUGUCUGCUUUCUGAAGCAUACUUUUUGGUGAUUUAUGUAUGGAGAAGGCUGUGAUCUUCAACGAGUCCAUGUGAGUGAGUAAAUUCUAUACCUGAAGCUGCUAAUCUGGGAAGUAAUGGGGAGGUUUAGCUAUGCCUUCUCUUUUUUAUUUUGAUCCCCAAUGAUGGUUUUCAAUUGUGAUGCAUACAGAAGAACCAAAUGCGUGCCUUACUUUUGGUGCUGGUUUCUGCAUGAGCUGCAUAGCCUACCAUUUUUAGUGCGUGUGGUUCUUCCUCUAUUCUUAUGCUGUAAAUUGUUGGAAAUCUAUCUUCUCGGAUGUCCCCCAUUUACUGUUUUCGCUUUCAAUUAAACUCUCAAAGCGUCGAUGUUUAAAAAUAUAAACUUUAUGCCUAUUGAUUUAAUAUAGGGGAUAUUACCCAUAUGCGUGCUAGUGAAGUGAUCGUAAGCAAACACACAGAAUUUGUUUUUCCCAUUUCAUUGGCAAGCAUGGUUGUAAAGUUUGCCUUUUUACUGCUACUUGAGAACAAUUGGCUGUUUACCUCCUU